CUCAUAGUCUGCUAAAUUCUGUACAUAUAGUGAAUAUAGUGCCUGCAUGUCAAGGUAUGUGGUUAAGUACAUCUAACGACCUUUCACUGCAUUUUUUUAUUCUCCAGAGUGCAAUGACACACCCUUCCCAUCUUCUGGCUUUGAGUUGUUACUCGCAGCAGCUGCUGCCGCUGAUGGUGAGUUGAUCGUUAAGCACAUCUCACGUCUUUUCCACUUUUAGUUGUUGUAAGUACUCCAUUUUUGUAUUAUGCAGUACACAAGGAUACAUGCUGCCCAUCUUCUGGCCUUGAUCUGCCACUAACACCGGCUGCUGUCAUUGAUGCUUCUGGAUCCAAUAGUGAUGGCACUCAAUCAGGGCUAAGUUCUUCACACGGUCAGCCUGGCACCGAUACAGCACCAUCGUAUUGCUCAGAAGAAACUCUUUCAAGUUCAGAAUGUGACAUACUGGCAGCUUGUUCACCAGAUGUGGAAACCUCCCAAGGAUCUUACUGUCAGGCAUUUCUGGCUUUGACUGUGCCUGAUGAGUGCGAGUGAAAUAUAUGUUCAUU
Dermacentor silvarum is the source of this 548-nucleotide long non-coding RNA. RefSeq lists it as uncharacterized. NCBI's taxonomy places the organism in Eukaryota, Metazoa, Arthropoda, Arachnida, Ixodida, Ixodidae. The transcript has 5 exons. The record is from RefSeq and is a predicted model, not a curated record.